AUAUGUCCCCAAUUGCAGCUGAUUUUUUUCUCUUUCUUGAUCAAAAAGCACACCAACUUGGGGCCAACGCCAGUAAACACCCUUUCUAUUUAUAUUUGAACUGCCCUGCAUCUCCAGAGAGCUCUGAUGCAGUCCAAGAUCUUACUUGAAGCCCGAAGCCAUUUCCUCAGAGUCUUUCUUACAAGACUCCAAUGCCUCAGUGACUUUCUGCAUCAGCAAUUCCAUCUCUGGGGCACGAAGAUUGAUUUUCUUUCUCCCUGCGAGUGAAAGUCCAGAAUGUGUGCCCCCUGCAUACUAUCCUGAGAGACCGACAAUACAACCACCAGAUCAACUUGAAAAACUCAUCGGGGGGGGCCCUCCAACCACCUCUGCGCUUCUCACUAGGUUAAGUGCUCCAUAUAUCAAUGAAGGCAAGACCCACUCACCCCAGUUCCCACCAGAGCUGCACACUGUGGUUAUCUUUAGCUGAAGUUUUGUAACGCUCCUACAUAGAAAAUCUACACACAGCAUCUCAGUGCAUGCAUGAACAUUCAGGAUGCAAUCUUGAAACUGGGGCCUGAAAAUCACAUACAUCUUGGUCCAGGGCUGAAGUAAAAAUAAGGUGCUUUGCUUGAUUGAUUAGGAAAUCAUUAAUGUGGUCAUAUAUAUGUGUGCUUUACACAUAUUUGGGGUCAUUUUAAAUGCUCAAACUGAGUUAACAUAUAAAUGAGUUGCUUAAAAAUAAGAGAAUUUUUUAUUUUGUUUUGUCUUGUAUUUUAGAACUAGAAAAGUCCCCUUUUAAAGCAAGCUUGAUAAUUUCAGGAAAAUAUUUGAAUUUUUAAUUAAAACAGAGAUCGGGAAAAGGCAACAUUGAUGAGUAUCAACAAUAUAUCUGUUUGUAAUAGACUAUUUUCUGUACUUUAAGAAAGUACUUUCUGUUUUAUGCAAGAAAGAUUGAGAACUAAGACAGGGUAGAGGAGGUAGGUGGGGAAAUUCAGACAUAUAAUCUGAACACACAUGAAGUAGAGUAGCCAGGCUCCAAAAUACGGACCUACAAACUUAUUAAAGAGUGACGACAUUACUUUCCCACAUGCAAAUUAAUGUUGUUUAUUGUUGGCAAGAAUAUGAGAGUCAUAAUAUGGCACUCUUUCUGAGUUCUACAUCUAUAUAAGCAAAAUAAAUAAUAAUGAUAGGAACCCAAAUUGGUCGAAAACUCAAGUUAUUUUAAUCACUAUUAGACUGUAAUCUUAGCUAGAAAGGGCAUUUGUCAUUUCCUCAUUAUCAUUUGAUUAUUGAAAGUUUCUAGAAGAAAAUUGCAAAAAACUUCACCUCAUUCUUUGAAAAACAUUAAGCAAACAAAUAUUGCCUUGAACCAAGGUAUAAAAAUUGGUGAUUUAGCUUUUUUGACAUAAUCCAUACAAUAACUGAAAUUUGAUUACACUAGUAUGAUAUUUCAAAUUUGAAAUUUAAAAAUUUAAAUUAUUGCAGUGUGGUUUGUCUUUAAAACCAUCAUCUAUAACACAUAUCUUUAGAAAAGUGACUGUUAUAUUUUCUGGUGUUACAUUAAUAUUACUUGUGCUUUGUUUUAUUUGCAAGUGAUGUAUUUUAUUUGAUAUUUUGUUCUCCAUACUAUAAUCACUUUAAUACUUUCCGAUACAAAUUGAUCUAUAAGUUGCCAAAUCAACAUUCUUUAUCAUAUCACACGUAUAACAUUCAUUUAGAUCUUGUUUAUCGAGACAUCUUUUACAAAAUCCUGUACAUUUUCAAAAGAUCCUAUUGAGAUAAAAUUCGAAGAAAGGAUCCUUAAAUGAAAGAGAGAACCUCUCCAAUGUCUGAAUAUUUAAGCAUCAAAUUCCUAUAAAAAUGUAUCAUGGUUAUAUGAAAGCACAUAGCCUUAUAAAGACUAGGUACCCUUAUCUUUUAUCUCACAUAAUAAAAAUAAAUAAAAGACCAGAAGAGAUUCACUGUCUCUCUACUACCCUCAUUAGCAAACAUCUGGCAAGCAAACUAUCACGAGUAAUAUUAUUUAACAACUUUUUUUUUUUGAUGGUAGGGGGUGGUGGUGAAAGGGCAGAUUGAAAUGAUAUAUGUCAAAUAUUAGUAGUCUUUUAAGAAGCCAUCGCCCAUGGCCCUUAACCCCUUACAGAUGGCAAAUAAGGUGCAGAGCAAACGAAAUUAAGAUGAUAGUGUGUUGACAGGAGCAGGCAGAUUCCAGCUUUCAUCCCUACAGACAACAGGAAUGACCACAUCUUUUCAAACUGACACAUUAAUGAAUUUAGCAACACCUGAACUUUUCUGGCAGGAGACACCUUUGACACCAGCAGGUUCUUUCGUGUCAGUAAUAAAAGGAUUCUGUAUCAUUCCCCGACUCCAUAUUUGAUGGCAGAAUUACCUUUUGGGCCCUAACAAGUUGACAGGGUUUCAUUUUGCUUCCUCUUUUAAUGACAUCUUCUUUGCAGGUGAACUGGAGAUGUAACGACUUCCUUUUUUGUCUUGGAAGAUUCCUAAAUGUCAUUGAGAGACCCAAGACGUCUCAAUCUCACUUAAUGCAAACGGAAAACCAAGGGUUUUUAAAGGUGAAAUGGAUCUUGCUAAUGAAGAAGUAUCACUCUUCGUGGGGCAUGCAGCUUGUUAGUUCAAGUUAGAAUUCUGGGCAGUAGGCGUGUGCCAAGCUGCAAGACUUUUUCUCCUCCUAAAUGAAUCGUGCAGUAAAUUGGGCAUUUGGAUCUUUCCCUUGUGAAGCUAUCUCACAAGUAAUACAUUCAUGGUAAGAAGGACUUUGAAGUCAGGCAGACAUAUGUGGAUCCCAGCCCGACCACUGAACUCUGAUCUCUGGCAAGCGACUUCAGCUUUCUGGGUAUCUGUUUCUUCAUCUCUAAAAUGG
Homo sapiens (human) is the source of this 2863-nucleotide long non-coding RNA. RefSeq lists it as uncharacterized. Lineage: Eukaryota; Metazoa; Chordata; Mammalia; Primates; Hominidae. The transcript is spliced from 3 exons. The record is from RefSeq and is a predicted model, not a curated record.